RNAcentral lists this ribosomal RNA (253 nucleotides) under uncultured bacterium. RNAcentral describes it as "partial 16S ribosomal RNA". It matches the Rfam family "Bacterial small subunit ribosomal RNA", at positions 524 to 776 of the family's 1533-position model. The record is from RNAcentral.
UACGGGGGGGGCAAGCGUUGUUCGGAAUUACUGGGCGUAAAGGGCUCGUAGGUGGCCAACUAAGUCAGACGUGAAAUCCCUCGGCUUAACCGUGGGCUUGCAGCCGAUACGGGCAGGCUAGAGUUCGGUAGGGGAGACUGGAAUUCCUGGUGUAGCGGUGAAAUGCGCAGAUAUCAGGAGGAACACCGGUGGCGAAGGCGGGUCUCUGGGCCGAUACCGACGCUGAGGAGCGAAAGCGUGGGGAGCAAACAGG